GCGGGGGUUGCCAAGUUAGGUCAAAGGCGCAGGGCUUAGGACCCUGUCCCGUAGGGGUUCGUGGGUUCGAAUCCCACCCCCCGCA
RNAcentral lists this transfer RNA (85 nucleotides) under Candidatus Bathyarchaeota archaeon. RNAcentral's name for it is "tRNA-Leu". It matches the Rfam family "tRNA". From Rfam's summary of the family: Transfer RNA (tRNA) molecules are approximately 80 nucleotides in length. Their secondary structure includes four short double-helical elements and three loops (D, anti-codon, and T loops). RNAcentral also lists the same sequence under 1 other name. The record is from RNAcentral. Lineage: Archaea; Thermoproteati; Candidatus Bathyarchaeota.